AACGCGAAGAACCUUACCUGGGCUCGAACGGCUCCUCAACGAUCGUAGAAAUACGGUUACCCCUUAAAAGGGUGGAGUCGAGGUGCUGCAUGGCUGUCGUCAGCUCGUGUCGUGAGAUGUUGGGUUAAGUCCCGCAACGAGCGCAACCCUCGCCCUUAGUUGCCAGCCGAAAGGCGCACUCUAGGGGGACUGCCACGGAUAACGUGGAGGAAGGUGGGGAUGACGUCAAGUCCUCAUGGCCUUUAUGUCCAGGGCUACACACGUGCUACAAUGGUCGGUACAAUCCGUCGCCAACCCGCGAGGGGGAGCCAAUCGGAAAAAGCCGACCUCAGUUCGGAUUGUAGUCUGCAACUCGGCUACAUGAAGCUGGAAUCGCUAGUAAUGGCAGAUCAGCAUGCUGCCGUGAAUACGUUCCCGGGCCUUGUACACACCGGCUAC
Molecule: ribosomal RNA, 438 nt
Filed under: uncultured bacterium
Lineage: Bacteria
Description: bacterial SSU rRNA
Rfam family: Bacterial small subunit ribosomal RNA
Source: RNAcentral